GAUCCUGCUCAGGAUGAACGCUAGCUACAGGCUUAACACAUGCAAGUCGAGGGGCAGCAUUUCAGUUUGCUUGCAAACUGGAGAUGGCGACCGGCGCACGGGUGAGUAACACGUAUCCAACCUGCCGAUAACUCGGGGAUAGCCUUUCGAAAGAAAGAUUAAUACCCGAUGGUAUAAUCAGACCGCAUGGUCUUGUUAUUAAAGAAUUUCGGUUAUCGAUGGGGAUGCGUUCCAUUAGGCAG
Molecule: ribosomal RNA, 242 nt
Filed under: uncultured bacterium
Lineage: Bacteria
Description: partial 16S ribosomal RNA
Rfam family: Bacterial small subunit ribosomal RNA
Source: RNAcentral